AUACGUAGGGUGCGAGCGUUGUCCGGAAUUAUUGGGCGUAAAGGGCUCGUAGGCGGUUUGUCGCGUCGGGAGUGAAAACACUGGGCUUAACCCAGUGCUUGCUUUCGAUACGGGCAGACUAGAGGUAUGCAGGGGAGAACGGAAUUCCUGGUGUAGCGGUGAAAUGCGCAGAUAUCAGGAGGAACACCGGUGGCGAAGGCGGUUCUCUGGGCAUGUCCUGACGCUGAGGAGCGAAAGUGUGGGGAGCGAACAG
RNAcentral lists this ribosomal RNA (253 nucleotides) under uncultured prokaryote. RNAcentral's name for it is "partial 16S ribosomal RNA". It matches the Rfam family "Bacterial small subunit ribosomal RNA", at positions 523 to 775 of the family's 1533-position model. The record is from RNAcentral.